GACGAACGCUGGCGGCGUGCUUAACACAUGCAAGUCGAGCGGAAAGGCCACUUCGGUGGUACUCGAGCGGCGAACGGGUGAGUAACACGUGAGUAAUCUGCCCCUGGCUUUGGGAUAGCCACCGGAAACGGUGAUUAAUACCGGAUACGACCACUUCUCGCAUGGGAUGGUGGUGGAAAGUUUUUUCGGCCAGGGAUGUGCUCGCGGCCUAUCAGCUUGAUGGUGAGGUAAUGGCUCACCAUGGCUUCGACGGGUAGCCGGCCUGAGAGGGUGACCGGUCACACUGGGACUGAGAAACGGCCAGACUCCUACGGGAGGCAGCAGUGGGGAAUAUUGGACAAUGGGCGGAAGCCUGAUCCAGCAACGCCGCGUGAGGGAUGACGGCCUUCGGGUUGUAAACCUCUUUCAGCAGGGACGAAGCGCAAGUGACGGUACCUGCAGAAGAAGCACCGGCCAACUACGUGCCAGCCGCCGCAGUAA
RNAcentral lists this ribosomal RNA (480 nucleotides) under uncultured bacterium. RNAcentral describes it as "partial 16S ribosomal RNA". It matches the Rfam family "Bacterial small subunit ribosomal RNA", at positions 28 to 523 of the family's 1533-position model. The record is from RNAcentral.